RNAcentral lists this ribosomal RNA (582 nucleotides) under uncultured bacterium. Its description in RNAcentral is "partial 16S ribosomal RNA". It matches the Rfam family "Bacterial small subunit ribosomal RNA", at positions 355 to 932 of the family's 1533-position model. The record is from RNAcentral.
UGGGGAAUUUUGGACAAUGGGCGAAAGCCUGAUCCAGCAAUGCCGCGUGUGUGAAGAAGGCCUUCGGGUUGUAAAGCACUUUUGUCCGGAAAGAAAUCCUUGGCUCUAAUACAGUCGGGGGAUGACGGUACCGGAAGAAUAAGCACCGGCUAACUACGUGCCAGCAGCCGCGGUAAUACGUAGGGUGCAAGCGUUAAUCGGAAUUACUGGGCGUAAAGCGUGCGCAGGCGGUUUGCUAAGACCGAUGUGAAAUCCCCGGGGCUCAACCUGGGAACUGCAUUGGUGACUGGCAGGCUAGAGUAUGGCAGAGGGGGGUAGAAUUCCACGUGUAGCAGUGAAAUGCGUAGAGAUGUGGAGGAAUACCGAUGGCGAAGGCAGCCCCCUGGGCCAAUACUGACGCUCAUGCACGAAAGCGUGGGGAGCAAAACAGGAUUAGAUACCCUGGUAGUCCACGCCCUAAAACGAUGUCAACUAGUUGUUGGGGAUUCAUUUCCUUAGUAACGUAGCUAACGCGUGAAGUUGACCGCCUGGGGAGUACGGUCGCAAGAUUAAAACUCAAAGGAAUUGACGGGGUCAUAGCUG